AAACAAAAACUGCCAGACUAAUGGACGCCCUGAACAAGAACAACCAACUUUCUCUGCUAGACACAUGACGGGGAAGACUGUCAAAGCAAAAAGCUCCAUUCCUGCCUCCAAUGACACCUAUCUUGAAAAAGAAAAGUACUUUCCAUUCAGUCCUCUAGAUUAUGAGAAUUUGACCUGCCUGAAGAGCAUCAGACUGUACACCCACCUUGAAUUAAGUACCUUUCAUGAUUCUUGCUGAGAAGAGAGAACUUGAACAGCUGUUACAGGUAAGCCCCCGUUUGCCUAUGAAGAUGUUCUCUCUACUGUGGGGAUCUAAUCAGUCACAGUCUCCCUCAAGCAUACUAUAGACCCAGGAUGUUCAAUUGCCACCUGUUUGCUCUAGCAUGGAUAU
RNAcentral lists this long non-coding RNA (391 nucleotides) under Homo sapiens (human). RNAcentral's name for it is "non-protein coding lnc-SP8-2:1". Lineage: Eukaryota; Metazoa; Chordata; Mammalia; Primates; Hominidae. The record is from RNAcentral.